RNAcentral lists this long non-coding RNA (573 nucleotides) under Homo sapiens (human). Its description in RNAcentral is "non-protein coding lnc-PTPN11-1:1". Lineage: Eukaryota; Metazoa; Chordata; Mammalia; Primates; Hominidae. The record is from RNAcentral.
GCAGCCCCGACUUCUCGGGCUUAAGUUAUCUUCCCGCCGCAGCCUCCACGCCCGAAAGAAAAGAAUGGAGGAAACCGAGGCUCGGAGACAGUAGGUAAUUUCCCCAAGGUUCCACAGCUAAUGAGUGGAGCGGCGAUUUGUGGAACGAAAUGAAUGAAAUCGAUGUGGCAGCGGGCCCGGACGGGUCGGUGGCGUAGACGCGGAGCGCGCAGCUCACACCUGGCGGCCGCGGUUUCCAGGAGGAAGCAAGGAUGCUUUGGACACUGUGCGUGGCGCCUCCGCGGAGCCCCCGCGCUGCCAUUCCCGGCCGUCGCUCGGUCCUCCGCUGACGGGAAGCAGGAAGUGGCGGCGGGCGUCGCGAGCGGUGACAUCACGGGGGCGACGGCGGCGAAGGGCGGGGGCGGAGGAGGAGCGAGCCGGGCCGGGGGGCAGCUGCACAGUCUCCGGGAUCCCCAGGCCUGGAGGGGGGUCUGUGCGCGGCCGGCUGGCUCUGCCCCGCGUCCGGUCCCGAGCGGGCCUCCCUCGGGCCAGCCCGAUGUGACCGAGCCCAGCGGAGCCUGAGCAAGGAGCGGG